UUAGGAAUAUUCGUCAAUGGGGGAAACCCUGAACGAGCAAUGCCGCGUGAGUGAUGAAGGCCCUAUGGGUUGUAAAACUCUGUUGUAAAGGAAGAAUACCUAGUAUAGGAAAUGAUGCUAGGAUGACGGUACUUUACCAGAAAGCCCCGGCUAACUACGUGCCAGCAGCCGCGGUAAUACGUAGGGGGCAAGCGUUAUCCGGAUUUAUUGGGCGUAAAGGGUGUGUAGGCGGUUUGUUAAGUCUAAAAUCAAAGCCCGAGGCUUAACCUCGGUUCGUUUUAGAAACUGGCAAACUAGAGUGCAGUAGAGGCAAGUGGAAUUUCUAGUGUAGCGGUUAAAUGCGUAGAUAUUAGAAGGAACACCAGUGGCGAAGGCGGCUUGCUGGGCUGUAACUGACGCUGAGACACGAAAGCGUGGGGAGCAAAUAGG
Molecule: ribosomal RNA, 429 nt
Filed under: uncultured bacterium
Lineage: Bacteria
Description: bacterial SSU rRNA
Rfam family: Bacterial small subunit ribosomal RNA
Source: RNAcentral